This 484-nucleotide ribosomal RNA is filed under the name uncultured bacterium. Its description in RNAcentral is "partial 16S ribosomal RNA". It matches the Rfam family "Bacterial small subunit ribosomal RNA", at positions 30 to 507 of the family's 1533-position model. The record is from RNAcentral.
AUUGAACGCUGGCGGCAGGCCUAACACAUGCAAGUCGAGCGGAUGAAGGGAGCUUGCUCCUGGAUUCAGCGGCGGACGGGUGAGUAAUGCCUAGGAAUCUGCCUGGUAGUGGGGGAUAACGUCCGGAAACGGGCGCUAAUACCGCAUACGUCCUGAGGGAGAAAGUGGGGGACCUUCGGACCUCACGCUAUCAGAUGAGCCUAGGUCGGAUUAGCUAGUUGGUGGGGUAAAGGCCUACCAAGGCGACGAUCCGUAACUGGUCUGAGAGGAUGAUCAGUCACACUGGAACUGAGACACGGUCCAGACUCCUACGGGAGGCAGCAGUGGGGAAUAUUGGACAAUGGGCGAAAGCCUGAUCCAGCCAUGCCGCGUGUGUGAAGAAGGUCUUCGGAUUGUAAAGCACUUUAAGUUGGGAGGAAGGGCAGUAAGUUAAUACCUUGCUGUUUUGACGUUACCAACAGAAUAAGCACCGGCUAACUUCGUG